RNAcentral lists this ribosomal RNA (1463 nucleotides) under Enterococcus durans. RNAcentral's name for it is "bacterial SSU rRNA". It matches the Rfam family "Bacterial small subunit ribosomal RNA". The record is from RNAcentral. Lineage: Bacteria; Bacillati; Bacillota; Bacilli; Lactobacillales; Enterococcaceae.
GCCGGUGCGGCGGCUAUACAUGCAAGUCGUACGCUUCUUUUUCCACCGGAGCUUGCUCCACCGGAAAAAGAAGAGUGGCGAACGGGUGAGUAACACGUGGGUAACCUGCCCAUCAGAAGGGGAUAACACUUGGAAACAGGUGCUAAUACCGUAUAACAAUCGAAACCGCAUGGUUUUGAUUUGAAAGGCGCUUUCGGGUGUCGCUGAUGGAUGGACCCGCGGUGCAUUAGCUAGUUGGUGAGGUAACGGCUCACCAAGGCUACGAUGCAUAGCCGACCUGAGAGGGUGAUCGGCCACAUUGGGACUGAGACACGGCCCAAACUCCUACGGGAGGCAGCAGUAGGGAAUCUUCGGCAAUGGACGAAAGUCUGACCGAGCAACGCCGCGUGAGUGAAGAAGGUUUUCGGAUCGUAAAACUCUGUUGUUAGAGAAGAACAAGGAUGAGAGUAACUGUUCAUCCCUUGACGGUAUCUAACCAGAAAGCCACGGCUAACUACGUGCCAGCAGCCGCGGUAAUACGUAGGUGGCAAGCGUUGUCCGGAUUUAUUGGGCGUAAAGCGAGCGCAGGCGGUUUCUUAAGUCUGAUGUGAAAGCCCCCGGCUCAACCGGGGAGGGUCAUUGGAAACUGGGAGACUUGAGUGCAGAAGAGGAGAGUGGAAUUCCAUGUGUAGCGGUGAAAUGCGUAGAUAUAUGGAGGAACACCAGUGGCGAAGGCGGCUCUCUGGUCUGUAACUGACGCUGAGGCUCGAAAGCGUGGGGAGCAAACAGGAUUAGAUACCCUGGUAGUCCACGCCGUAAACGAUGAGUGCUAAGUGUUGGAGGGUUUCCGCCCUUCAGUGCUGCAGCUAACGCAUUAAGCACUCCGCCUGGGGAGUACGACCGCAAGGUUGAAACUCAAAGGAAUUGACGGGGGCCCGCACAAGCGGUGGAGCAUGUGGUUUAAUUCGAAGCAACGCGAAGAACCUUACCAGGUCUUGACAUCCUUUGACCACUCUAGAGAUAGAGCUUCCCCUUCGGGGGCAAAGUGACAGGUGGUGCAUGGUUGUCGUCAGCUCGUGUCGUGAGAUGUUGGGUUAAGUCCCGCAACGAGCGCAACCCUUAUUGUUAGUUGCCAUCAUUCAGUUGGGCACUCUAGCAAGACUGCCGGUGACAAACCGGAGGAAGGUGGGGAUGACGUCAAAUCAUCAUGCCCCUUAUGACCUGGGCUACACACGUGCUACAAUGGGAAGUACAACGAGUCGCGAAGUCGCGAGGCUAAGCUAAUCUCUUAAAGCUUCUCUCAGUUCGGAUUGUAGGCUGCAACUCGCCUACAUGAAGCCGGAAUCGCUAGUAAUCGCGGAUCAGCACGCCGCGGUGAAUACGUUCCCGGGCCUUGUACACACCGCCCGUCACACCACGAGAGUUUGUAACACCCGAAGUCGGUGAGGUAACCUUUUGGAGCCAGCCGCGUAAGGGGAUUAAGU